GAUGAACGCUGGCGGCGUGCCUAACACAUGCAAGUCGAGCGGAGAUAAGAGGCGUACUUGUACAAAUUUUAUCUUAGCGGCGGACGGGUGAGUAACACGUGAGUAACCUGCCCUCAAGUGGGGAAUAACAUCGGGAAAUCGGUGCUAAUACCGCAUAAUGUCCUGAAACCGCAUGGUUUUAGGACCAAAGGAGCAAUCCGCUUAAGGAUGGACUCGCGUCCGAUUAGAUAGUUGGUGAGGUAAUGGCUCACCAAGUCAGCGAUCGGUAGCCGAACUGAGAGGUUGAUCGGCCACAUUGGGACUGAGACACGGCCCAGACUCCUACGGGAGGCUG
Molecule: ribosomal RNA, 334 nt
Filed under: uncultured Bacillota bacterium
Lineage: Bacteria; Bacillati; Bacillota
Description: bacterial SSU rRNA
Rfam family: Bacterial small subunit ribosomal RNA
Source: RNAcentral